UUCGGUGUUCGAGUUGUAAUUUGAAGAUGGUAACCUUGGGUUUGGCUCUUGUCUAUGUUCCUUGGAACAGGACGUCAUAGAGGGUGAGAAUCCCGUCUGAUGAGAUGCCCAUUCCUAUGUAAGGUGCUAUCGAAGAGUCGAGUUGUUUGGGAAUGCAGCUCUAAGUGGGUGGUAAAUUCCAUCUAAAGCUAAAUAUUGGCGAGAGACCGAUAGCGAACAAGUACAGUGAUGGAAAGAUGAAAAGAACUUUGAAAAGAGAGUGAAAAAGUACGUGAAAUUGUUGAAAGGGAAGGGCAUUAGAUCAGACUUGGUGUUUUACGAUUAUCUUCUCUUCUUGAGUUGUGCACUCGUAUUUCACUGGGCCAGCAUCGAUUCGGAUGGCAAGAUAAUGGCAGUUGAAUGUGGCUUCACUUCGGUGGAGUGUUAUAGCUUCUGCUGAUAUUGCCUGUCUGGAUCGAGGGCUGCGUCUUUUGACUAGGAUGCUGGCGUAAUGAUCUAAUGCCGCCCGU
Molecule: ribosomal RNA, 509 nt
Filed under: Hansenula anomala
Lineage: Eukaryota; Fungi; Ascomycota; Saccharomycetes; Phaffomycetales; Wickerhamomycetaceae
Description: LSU rRNA
Rfam family: Eukaryotic large subunit ribosomal RNA
Source: RNAcentral